Gallus gallus (chicken) is the source of this 3239-nucleotide long non-coding RNA. RefSeq lists it as uncharacterized. The record is from RefSeq and is a predicted model, not a curated record. Lineage: Eukaryota; Metazoa; Chordata; Aves; Galliformes; Phasianidae. The transcript has 4 exons.
GACUUGAUCCUUAUGGGUCUCUUCCAACCUAGGAUAUUCUAUGAUUCUAUUAUUCAGUGAACAUGUUACAUAAAGUUACAGUUCAUCAAGCAGAUGCACCAAUGUCCAUGUGCACACCUGCUGCUUUUAUUCCACGAACUGUUUAAUAGGAUGACUAAAGGAAAAGCUCUGAAUGUAAGUUUGCAAGAGUUAUUAUUUUAUUCCUCCGUGCUCCAGACUGGAUACACAGUUUUGCCAAGUUUGAGAUAUAGUCUUAAUCCAUGUGAAAGCAUAUUUGAACUUGAGUUUGGCAAAGCAUUUGUUUGUAAUCUAGAAUCAGAUACUACUGGUAUAAUUACAUUUGCUGAGUCUGAAGAGAGAGCUCCAGGGGAGAUCUGAGAGCGGCCUUUCAGUAUCUAAAGGGAGGCUGUAAGAAAGAAGGGGACAGAUUCUUCAGCAGGAUCUGUGGUGAUAGGACAAGGGGAAAUGAUUUCAAACUAAAAGAAGGGAGAUUUAGACUGCAUAUAAUGUUUAUCUGAUAAGUUUUUUGGAUAUAAGUUUUUAUGAUAAGGGUAGCGAAGCACUGGCACAGGUUGCCAAGAGAGGUGGUGGAUGCCUCAUCCUUGGAGACACUCAAGGUCAGGCUGGACGGGGCUCUGAGCAGCCUGAUGUAGCUGUAGGUGUAGAUGGCAGGGGGGUUGCACUAGAUGAUCUUUAAUUGUCCCUUCCAGCUCUAAUGAAACUGUGAUUCUAUGAUAAGAGCUAGAUUUUGAAUACUGGAGUAAUGACAUGGAUAUUUACUUACUUGCUUAUCAGUCUAUCAAUCAGGCCCUUGUUUCAUGUAAUAAAUAUUUAGCCAAUGACAACUGUCAUCUGCAAGAUUAGAAUGGUGCUUAAUAAUCCUUGUACUUGAGAAAAUUUUAACUUUUGGUAACUACUUUUCCAGGUAUAAACUUUCAUGGCAUAGAGGACAAAAUCUAUUUCCUAAGAACAGUGAUACAGCCUGAAAUGUGUCACAUUGGUUGAAACACCUACUUUUUUUAGAUACUUACAUUUAACCUCUUCUUUUGAAGAAAAAAAGUUACCUUGUUCUUUCCCAUGACUUUGCAUGUCAUACUUCUAAGGGAGUGAACCCAUUCUGAACUCAAUAGAGUUUGGUCUCUUCCUUCUGUAGCAUUAAUCUUGGAGACAUUAUGACCAAUUUAAGCCGAAUGGGGGUUUCUCUUUCUAACUACCUACUUGCAAACUGCUAAGGAACCAGCAAGGGAAAAUGAGCACUACUCACAAUAGUCUCCAGCUUGGAUUGCAUGUAUCUUGAAAACACGAGCAGCAGAUGCUUGUGGAAGUGAUUAUGCACUCAGUCAUAUGUACAUCCUCCUGGCUGUCAUCACCACUUCUACACAUUUGUAGUAUAAGAAGAAAACCCUGGGAGUUUAUGGGGGGGAGGGCGGAAAAAGAAGCACAAAGUAUAUUUCAGAAGGACAAAAUAAUCCUAGAGUUUUUAAGGAGUUCAGCAAUCACUGCUGCUCAGGGGCCCAAGCCGGCAAGAUAUUCAUUUAUCAAACUUGAAAGAACCCCACAAGAUUAUGGAUAGUAACCUUCCUAGGGAUUUCAACAUUUCACCAUGUUGUCAUUUAUAAACAUAUAACACUUUUAUUGAGAAAAACACUCCUUUCUUUCUUUUUUUUCUUUUUUCUGAUUCAGGCUGUAGUAACUGGGGCAAUUUUCUGCUUUUAUAUAAGUAGUACUUCUGAAAGCUUGCACAAAAUUAUUUUACUCUGUCAAGCCUAUAGUCUGCAGACAUCAUUAUAUUGUGCCAACAAUCUUAUUUUGGAUCCUUACAUGCACACAGCAAAUUACUUUGGAGGUGUCAGUGCAGCACCCUCUGUGCUGUCGUUCUUUUUCAUUUUGAAGAAAUACAGAAGGAAUAUUUAGGAUUUUUUUUUCCCAAGUAAUUUCUUGACAUUCCCUGAUUUUUCAGAACAGUCUCCUGUUAGCUUUGGUUCUGAAUUUAGUUGUCCUGGAUUUUUGUUCUUCCAAGCAACUCAAGCUUUCACUCUCUACAUGUUGCAGCCUUUUUUUUCUGCUGCUAAAAGACAAAACAAAGUGUCGGCCUUUCUCCUGAUUUCACUGAGGAUCAGGAAAGGUGGCAGUGCCAGAGGCUCCUGACUCUGCUCAUUGCUCUGGCCCACUGCAGCUCAUUCCCAACUGGUGGAUUUCAUCUUUCAUCUGUUCUGGGCUGCUGAGAGCAUGCUUCCACUGAUAGCGGUUAUGGUUUUUCUUACAGUUGCUUGUCCAGAUGUGGAAACUGAUACUAGAAGCACCAGGUUCUGAUGUCACAGUCUGAUACUCAUUACAAGCUGAAAUUCAUCACCUUCCAACCCGGUGACAUACCACAAUAUGAUCUGCUGAAAGGGAAAAUCUUAAGGAGAUGAGGCAUGGCUUAAAAACCUUUCUGGCCGUAUGCAUCUCCUGCCUCAGCCAAGUGGGGGUGACAGAAGGAGAUACCAUCACAUAACAGGCUUGCAGGAACUCCAUCAGCGUCACUGCAAAUUGCAAGUCUGGUUCAAACACUACCCAGUGGCUCCAAUCCAUACACACAAUUCCCACUGAAAUUGGCAGAAUUCCUGCCUGCAGAAUGAAUGCAAGAUAUUUUCAGCAACGUGGUGCUGUGCUAUAUCACCACUUAGAAAAAACUUACAGCUAUUCACUUCGGAGUUACAGUCAUAUAAUGAAAAAAUCAAACAGUGACAGUACCAAGGAGUGUCAUGUCACCAUCCUGGAGUCAUUUCCGUAUUGAAUAAGCUGAAGACUAAAGCAGAAAGAUGUGUACGUUUGUAUGCAGGGAGUUUCCCUUGUGUCAGACCAGAAGAUUCAGCCUUAGUGUUCCUUUCAGCGUCGCUACCAGAUAUAAUUACCAUGACUCAAGUUACAGCUUCAUUAAAAGCUUCAGAGAUCUCCUUGCCUUCAGGAGGCGUCCAUCAUCACAUCCAAAGGAUAUGACCCUGUCACUGUCAAUACGUUUGAGCAGAUGAAACAAAUCAGAACUGAAUAAAUAGUCCUGAAAACAAGCAGCAGGAUCUAGUGCUCUGAAGUGGCUGCAUGUAUUAGAGGAAAAGCAGCGAAGAAGCUCCCACAUUGCAAAAACUUGGCCGGAAACUGCGUGAGGAGGGAACUGUCAGUUCUUAUGCUGCCACUUUCAGAUUAGAAUUAAACCUCAAAUAUCCACAACUCAACCCCAAAGCCCCAGCUUACCGUAA